CGAGACCUCAGGUCAGGCGGGGCUACCCGCUGAAUUUAAGCAUAUCAAUAAGCGGAGGAAAAGAAACUAACAAGGAUUCCCCUUAUUAACGG
RNAcentral lists this ribosomal RNA (92 nucleotides) under Astragalus triradiatus. Its description in RNAcentral is "partial 26S ribosomal RNA". It matches the Rfam family "Eukaryotic large subunit ribosomal RNA", at positions 1 to 89 of the family's 3401-position model. Lineage: Eukaryota; Viridiplantae; Streptophyta; Magnoliopsida; Fabales; Fabaceae. The record is from RNAcentral.